RNAcentral lists this transfer RNA (65 nucleotides) under Argas persicus. Its description in RNAcentral is "tRNA-Ser". The record is from RNAcentral. Lineage: Eukaryota; Metazoa; Arthropoda; Arachnida; Ixodida; Argasidae.
GAUUUCUUAACUAUAAAUAAAGUAUGUAUUUUGAAAAUACAAAAAAGAUAUUCAUCUAGAAAUCU